RNAcentral lists this ribosomal RNA (424 nucleotides) under uncultured Lactobacillus sp. Its description in RNAcentral is "bacterial SSU rRNA". It matches the Rfam family "Bacterial small subunit ribosomal RNA", at positions 358 to 774 of the family's 1533-position model. Lineage: Bacteria; Bacillati; Bacillota; Bacilli; Lactobacillales; Lactobacillaceae. The record is from RNAcentral.
GGAAUCUUCCACAAUGGGCGCAAGCCUGAUGGAGCAACACCGCGUGAGUGAAGAAGGGUUUCGGCUCGUAAAGCUCUGUUGUUAGAGAAGAACGUGCGUGAGAGUAACUGUUCAAGGGUUGACGGUAUUUAACCAGAAAGCCACGGCUAACUACGUGCCAGCAGCCGCGGUAAUACGUAGGUGGCAAGCGUUGUCCGGAUUUAUUGGGCGUAAAGCGAGCGCAGGCGGUUUUUUAAGUCUGAUGUGAAAGCCUUCGGCUUAACCGGAGAAGUGCAUCGGAAACUGGGAGACUUGAGUGCAGAAGAGGACAGUGGAACUCCAUGUGUAGCGGUGGAAUGCGUAGAUAUAUGGAAGAACACCAGUGGCGAAGGCGGCUGUCUAGUCUGUAACUGACGCUGAGGCUCGAAAGCAUGGGUAGCGAACA